UGUUAAAAGUUUCAUCCAUUUCUAUUGUUAAAAACCGGUGUGGUUGAUGAAAUAACCAAACAGUUACACAUAGCAACGUGCCACUGUACCUUAAACUGACCUGCAUGGACCAAUUAUUAAAAGUAAAAUUGAAUGAAAUUUUUAACA
Gossypium raimondii (Peruvian cotton) is the source of this 147-nucleotide non-coding RNA. NCBI's taxonomy places the organism in Eukaryota, Viridiplantae, Streptophyta, Magnoliopsida, Malvales, Malvaceae. The record is from Rfam.